GCAGCUCUCCUCUGCACCCCAACAUGGGUUAGGGGCUGCUGCACAGGGCUGCGGGGAGACAGGAGAUACUGCCACCAUGGGAAGGGCACUGUGGCAGGGACCAGGGGCCAGGAGCUGCAGCCCCAUGGGGCUGGCCGUGUCCCUUUACCAAAAACCCGUUCUAAAGCCCACUACCAUUAGGCUGUCCCAGCUUAGCUUUCUCCAUCUCGAGUCCCAGCCCCUCCAUGGGCAGAGCAUAGCGCAGUGCACUCUGCUGGGGGCCCACAAACAGCUCUGCACCUCUCCACAGGACCAGAAGGACACAGCUCAGAUAGAGGCCACUUCUGCAGAUUCCUGUAGUAGUUCCAGUGCAAGUGAUGAUCUCCUGGAGAAGUACACAGAGCAACUCGAGCAGGUGGCCAUGCAAGCAGGCACAGAGCACUGCAGACAGAGGUGGGAAGCCCAGGAGCAUCAGUGCUGGGCACGGGACACAACAUCAACAGGGCACAGUACUGCUAAGGAAGAAGCUCAGGGCAGAAGGAGGCAGUGCCAGCGAGCAGCCCUAUCUCAAGCAGCCCAGGUCCCAGCACAGUCACUGGCAGCCCAAAGCCACCUACAGCAUGAGGAGGAACAGCUGCAGGCGAGUGCAGGGAGCACCAUGCAGUGCACAGAGGAACAGCCAUGCUCUUGUGCAAGGAGUAGCAUGCAGCACACAGCUGACAGCAGCAUAGUGGAGCUGCGCGCGCCGCAGGAGGUAGCAGAAAGCAGGGAGAUGGCAGUGUGGCUCCAGAUGGAGCUGAGCCGGUGGCAGCAGAAGCAGCAGGUGACUCUGGAGCAGUCACUGCAACACAUGCAUGCUGCUGCCCAUGCCAAACAGGAACUACAGAAGAGCCAAGAACAACUCCAAGCCCUGAAGAAGCAGCUGAAGGCUCAGAAGGAGCAGAACCGGACCCUGCAGCAGAGCCUGGAAAAGCAGCAAGAGGUGCUGACAGCCACCAAGGCCAGGGAGAUGCAAAGCUUGCAGCAGCUCAGUAGACACAAGCAGACAAUCCACGACCUACAGCAGAAAGCAGCCUCGAGCAGAAAGAAGAUGUCAGAGCUGCUAGAGCAGGUGGAGGAAGUGGCAUCCCUGAAGGCAGAGCUGGCCCAAGCCCAGAGAAAGAUAGGCCACAAUCUUCCACUCCUUGGUCGUUACGAGGAAGAGAGGCAACAGCUCCACAGGGAACUCAAGAAGCAACAGAGGGCCCAGGCGCAGAGCCAGCAGGAGGCCCGCUCCUUCCAGGAGCAGCUGCAAAAGCUGAGCAGCCAAGUUCAGUACUGGCAGGAGUUACACCAGGACACUCAGCAAGCUCUGGCUAGACGGGAAGAUGAACUGUCUGUCUGCAACGCAGAGAUGGAUUUCAAGGAAGAAUUCAUCAAGGCCAUGAGACAGGCUCAGGCCAAGAACAGACGGAACCAUGGCCCAAGGGCAGGAGGACUUCAACCUGAGCCCCAGGCGCCGCUGAAGGACAGAUCCUGGCCUACAGGCAGGGCAGAGGUGGAAAGGCCAGGCCACGAGUGGGCUGACUGCAGAGCCAACACCAAGGGAGGAGGAGGCGGUGGGUCUGUAAGCAGCAGCAUGCCAACAUCUUGUUCUUCUUUAAGUAGUCCACUUUCCUCUGUUGCUAGAAAGGUGCCCUCAGUAUGACAUUAAGUUUCUGUCCAGACUGCUGAGGUAAUGGUUCCUUCAUUCCAGAACAGCUAUACCAAGACACAGGCAACUGCAGACUCACAGCUCAGCCCCAAAGGCUGCUGCCUCCACACACAGCACAGAGUAUUGUUUUUUUUAGGUAAAAGCCCUGCAUGCUUCCCACACCCCAGCCUGUUCUAAUAGCAGUAGGCUGCACCAGGACAGGAAUCUGAUGCUGAUCAAUAACAGCCAGAGUGUGAAAGAGCAGAUGCAGUCAAAUGAGAAACACCACAAGAUCCAGCAGCAAGUCAAACAGACUGCAGAGUUCACAG
Lagopus leucura (white-tailed ptarmigan) is the source of this 1980-nucleotide RNA transcript. It is a transcript of the gene named adenylate cyclase, terminal-differentiation specific-like, with no coding region annotated. Lineage: Eukaryota; Metazoa; Chordata; Aves; Galliformes; Phasianidae. The transcript has 8 exons. The record is from RefSeq and is a predicted model, not a curated record.